CCUACGGGAUGCAGCAGUGAGGAAUCUUGGUCAAUGGGCGCGAGCCUGCACCAGCCAAGUCGCGUGAGGGAAGACGGUCCUAUGGAUUGUAAACCUCUUUUGUCGGGGAGCAAAAGACGCCACGCGUGGCGUUCCGAGAGUACCCGAAGAAAAAGCAUCGGCUAACUCCGUGCCAGCAGCCGCGGUAAUACGGAGGAUGCGGGCGUUAUCCGGAUUUAUUGGGUUUAAAGGGUGCGCAGGGGGAAGAUCAAGUCAGCGGUAAAAGUGAGAGGCUCAACCUCUUCGAGCCGUUGAAACUGGUUUUCUUGAGUGAGCGAGAGGUAUGCGGAAUGCGUGGUGUAGCGGUGAAAUGCAUAGAUAUCACGCAGAACUCCGAUUGCGAAGGCAGCAUACCGGCGCUCAACUGACGCUCAUGCACGAAAGUGUGGGUAUCGAACAGGAUUAGAUACCCUGGUAGUC
Molecule: ribosomal RNA, 459 nt
Filed under: uncultured bacterium
Lineage: Bacteria
Description: partial 16S ribosomal RNA
Rfam family: Bacterial small subunit ribosomal RNA
Source: RNAcentral